UGGGGGAUAUUGCACAAUGGAGGAAACUCUGAUGCAGCGACGCCGCGUGAGGGAAGAAGGUCUUCGGAUUGUAAACCUCUGUCUUUGGGGACGAAGAAAGUGACGGUACCCAAAGAGGAAGCCACGGCUAACUACGUGCCAGCAGCCGCGGUAAUACGUAGGAGGCGAGCGUUGUCCGGAAUUACUGGGUGUAAAGGGUGCGUAGGCGGACUGGCAAGUUGGAUGUGAAAUCUCCGCGCUUAACGUGGAGGUUGCAUUCAAAACUGUUGGUCUUGAGUGAGGCAGAGGCAGGCGGAAUUCCCGGUGUAGCGGUGAAAUGCGUAGAGAUCGGGAGGAACACCAGUGGCGAAGGCGGCCUGCUGGGCCUUAACUGACGCUGAGGCACGAAAGCAUGGGUAGCAAACA
RNAcentral lists this ribosomal RNA (405 nucleotides) under uncultured bacterium. RNAcentral describes it as "bacterial SSU rRNA". It matches the Rfam family "Bacterial small subunit ribosomal RNA", at positions 355 to 774 of the family's 1533-position model. The record is from RNAcentral.